UACGUAGGCGGAAUAUUAAGUCAGUGGUGAAAUCCUGCAGCUUAACUGUAGAAUUGCCAUUGAUACUGAUCUUCUUGAAUUUAGUUGAGGUGGGCGGAAUGUGUAAUGUAGCGGUGAAAUGCUUAGAUAUUACACAGAACACCGAUUGCGAAGGCAGCUCACUAAACUAACAUUGACGCUAAGGUACGAAAGCGUGGGGAGCAAACAGGAUUAGAUACCCUGGUAGUCC
This 229-nucleotide ribosomal RNA is filed under the name uncultured bacterium. RNAcentral describes it as "partial 16S ribosomal RNA". It matches the Rfam family "Bacterial small subunit ribosomal RNA", at positions 568 to 796 of the family's 1533-position model. The record is from RNAcentral.